Molecule: ribosomal RNA, 824 nt
Filed under: uncultured bacterium
Lineage: Bacteria
Description: bacterial SSU rRNA
Rfam family: Bacterial small subunit ribosomal RNA
Source: RNAcentral
UGCGUUNUGAACUGGGUAGCUAGAGUAUNUCAGAGGGGGGUAGAAUUCCACGUGUAGCAGUGAAAUGCGUAGAGAUGUGGAGGAAUACCGAUGGCGAAGGCAGCCCCCUGGGAUAAUACUGACGUUCAUGCUCGAAAGCGUGGGUAGCAAACAGGAUUAGAUACCCUGGUAGUCCACGCCCUAAACGAUGUCGAUUAGCUGUUGGGCAACUUGAUUGCUUAGUAGCGUAGCUAACGCGUGAAAUCGACCGCCUGGGGAGUACGGUCGCAAGAUUAAAACUCAAAGGAAUUGACGGGGACCCGCACAAGCGGUGGAUGAUGUGGAUUAAUUCGAUGCAACGCGAAGAACCUUACCUGGUCUUGACAUGUACGGAAGAACUCAGAGACGAGUUUGUGCCUUCGGGAGCCGUAACACAGGUGCUGCAUGGCUGUCGUCAGCUCGUGUCGUGAGAUGUUGGGUUAAGUCCCGCAACGAGCGCAACCCUUGUCAUUAGUUGCCAUCAUUUAGUUGGGCACUCUAAUGAGACUGCCGGUGACAAACCGGAGGAAGGUGGGGAUGACGUCAAGUCCUCAUGGCCCUUAUGACCAGGGCUUCACACGUCAUACAAUGGUCGGUACAGAGGGUAGCCAAGCCGCGAGGUGGAGCCAAUCCCAGAAAACCGAUCGUAGUCCGGAUUGCACUCUGCAACUCGAGUGCAUGAAGUCGGAAUCGCUAGUAAUCGCAGGUCAGCAUACUGCGGUGAAUACGUUCCCGGGUCUUGUACACACCGCCCGUCACACCAUGGGAGUGGGGGAUACCAGAAGUAGGUAGGGUAACCGCAAGGA